AAUUGUAGACCUGUAUGAAGGCAAAUGAGGGCCUAACUGUCUCUUAUAACCAAUCAAUUAAACUGAUCUCCCAGUACAAAAGCUGGGAUACUUACAUAAGACCAGAAGACCCUGUGAAGCUUAAACUAAACUAUUAAACCACAUAAUAACUCCUUUUGGUUGGGGCGACCUUGGAAAAAAAAAGAACUUCCAAACAACAGUGAUUUUAACCCACCCMCUACCUUAGGCCAACAAGCCAAAUAACGACCCAGCAUUGCUGAUCAAUGAAACCAGGUYACUCCGGGAAAASCMGCSUUCUCCUUCURCAAGACCCCAUAUAAAAAAGAAGGUUCCCSACCUCGAUGUUGRAUCAGGACAUCCUARUGGKGCAGCAKCUWUUARGGGUUCKUUUGUWCAACRAUWAACAGUCCCACGUGAUCUGAKUUCAAAUCGAACA
This 436-nucleotide ribosomal RNA is filed under the name Malpolon moilensis (Moila snake). RNAcentral describes it as "partial large subunit ribosomal RNA". Lineage: Eukaryota; Metazoa; Chordata; Lepidosauria; Squamata. The record is from RNAcentral.